Vidua chalybeata is the source of this 291-nucleotide long non-coding RNA. RefSeq lists it as uncharacterized. The record is from RefSeq and is a predicted model, not a curated record. The transcript is spliced from 3 exons. Lineage: Eukaryota; Metazoa; Chordata; Aves; Passeriformes; Viduidae.
GCCACCUGGGGCCUGAGCCUGCAUUUUCUGGGUUACUUCCACAUUUCAUUGUGCCUCUGCUUCUCCGCUGCACAGAGAGCUCUCAGAGCUCUCUCUUAGCUAUAUGUUUGGAAAAGUUGCUGUCUGAUAGCUGACAGGCAGAUGAGAAGGCAGAGCUGACACCAUGCUUGAGAGGAUAUUGCUGGUGUUAUCAGCAGCAUGAGCAGAAUCAAAGCCUUCUCAGUGAAAUGAAGUAACAACUUGCAAGGGGAAGAUGGGCAGAGAGAGAGGAAAUAAACUUAUAUAGAAGCA